AUUGAACGCUAGCGGCAUGCCUUACACAUGCAAGUCGAACGGCAGCGGGGGAGCUUGCUCCCGCCGGCGAGUGGCGAACGGGUGAGUAAUACACCGGAACGUACCCAGUAGCGGGGGAUAGCCCGGCGAAAGCCGGAUUAAUACCGCAUACGCCCUACGGGGGAAAGGGGGGGAUCGGAAGACCUCCCCCCAAUGGAGCGGCCGGUGGCUGACUAGCCAGUUGGUGGGGUAAAGGCCUGCCAAGGCGACGAUCAGUAGCUGGUCUGAGAGGACGACCAGCCACACUGGGACUGAGACACGGCCCAGACUCCUACGGGAGGCAGCAGUGGGGAAUUUUGGACAAUGGGCGAAAGCCUGAUCCAGCAAUGCCGCGUGUGCGAAGAAGGCCUUCGGGUUGUAAAGCACUUUUGUCAGGGAAGAAAUCGUUUGGGUUAAUACCCCGAGCAGUUGACGGUACCUGAAGAAUAAGCACCGGCUAACUACGUGCCAGCAGCCGCGGUAA
This 502-nucleotide ribosomal RNA is filed under the name uncultured bacterium. RNAcentral describes it as "partial 16S ribosomal RNA". It matches the Rfam family "Bacterial small subunit ribosomal RNA", at positions 29 to 523 of the family's 1533-position model. The record is from RNAcentral.